CACGUAGGCUGUUAUGUAAGUCAGGGGUGAAAGCCCACGGCUCAACCGUGGAACUGCCCUUGAUACUGCACGACUUGAAUCCGGGAGAGGGUGGCGGAAUUCCAGGUGUAGGAGUGAAAUCCGUAGAUAUCUGGAGGAACAUCAGUGGCGAAGGCGGCCACCUGGACCGGUAUUGACGCAGAGGUGCGAAAGCGUGGGGAGCAAACA
RNAcentral lists this ribosomal RNA (207 nucleotides) under uncultured delta proteobacterium. RNAcentral describes it as "partial 16S ribosomal RNA". It matches the Rfam family "Bacterial small subunit ribosomal RNA", at positions 568 to 774 of the family's 1533-position model. The record is from RNAcentral. Lineage: Bacteria; Deltaproteobacteria.